UCUUCCCUUUCCUCUCAGUCCCUUCAAUCUUCAAUGUUCUUCGUCUUUCCAUUCCUGGUCCGUGCGUGGUGGUCUAUCUCUCUCGGUUUCCCGUAGACUCGGUCUCUCGGUCUCUCGGUCUCUCGGUUUCAGUUCGUGGUCCGUUCGUAGCUUGCUCUUGCAAGUCAGCCCUCUUCCAGGUCAGCCCUCUCUUUGUACCAAGUUCUCCUUUGCUCUAUCAAUGGAGGAGCCUCUUCUAUUCUGAGAAAUACCUCAAACCCACCAGCUGUUUCACUCAUUCUCAGGUUGGGGAUCGAAUUGGCAAGGAGCAUUGCAAAGGUAAUUUGCAAGAGUUGUUAAACCCAGACAAAAAACAAGAUUUUAGUAAGAGAACAACAUCAAAUACAAAUUCAUUGGAGAUGGAUAAAAGUUGGAUCCAU
This is a long non-coding RNA of Humulus lupulus (European hop), 419 nucleotides long. RefSeq lists it as uncharacterized. The transcript is spliced from 4 exons. The record is from RefSeq and is a predicted model, not a curated record. NCBI's taxonomy places the organism in Eukaryota, Viridiplantae, Streptophyta, Magnoliopsida, Rosales, Cannabaceae.